UCUCUUCAAACAAGUGGAAUGUUAUUUUUGCCCUUGUCUCUUCGUGAAGAAAAAAGUGGCACCCAGAGUUGGCCGACGGUUUAGCUGCAAACGAAAAAAAAAUCCUUCUUCGGUUAUUCCACUCUAUCCCAAAAAGGUACUCCAUUAUUUUUGCUCUCCUUCAAUCUCGGUAGUUGUCCACAUUUCCAUCUCGGCAAUCAACAUCGGCCAUCUCAGC
RNAcentral lists this long non-coding RNA (217 nucleotides) under Elaeis guineensis (African oil palm). RNAcentral's name for it is "long non-coding RNA (EGUI_LNC018830)". Lineage: Eukaryota; Viridiplantae; Streptophyta; Magnoliopsida; Arecales; Arecaceae. The record is from RNAcentral.